RNAcentral lists this ribosomal RNA (497 nucleotides) under uncultured bacterium. Its description in RNAcentral is "partial 16S ribosomal RNA". It matches the Rfam family "Bacterial small subunit ribosomal RNA", at positions 28 to 507 of the family's 1533-position model. The record is from RNAcentral.
GAUGAACGCUGGCGGCGUGCCUAAUACAUGCAAGUCGAGCGAACAGACGAGGAGCUUGCUCCUCUGACGUUAGCGGCGGACGGGUGAGUAACACGUGGAUAACCUACCUAUAAGACUGGGAUAACUUCGGGAAACCGGAGAUAAUACCGGAUAAUAUAUUGAACCGCAUGGUUCAAUAGUGAAAUACGGUUUUGCUGUCACUUAUAGAUGGAUCCGCGCCGCAUUAGCUAGUUGGUAAGGUAACGGCUUACCAAGGCAACGAUGCGUAGCCGACUUGAGAGGGUGAUCGGCCACACUGGAACUGAGACACGGUCCAGACUCCUACGGGAGGGAGCAGUAGGGAAUCUUCCGCAAUGGGCGAAAGCUUGACGGAGCAACGCCGCGUGAGUGAUGAAGGUCUUCGGAGCGUAAAACUCUGUUAUUAGGGAAGAACAAAUGUGUAAGUAACUAUGCACGUCUUGACGGUACCUAAUCAGAAAGCCACGGCUAACUACGUG